GAACGGUAGCACAGAGAGCUUGCUCUUGGGUGACGAGUGGCGGACGGGUGAGUAAUGUCUGGGAAACUGCCCGAUGGAGGGGAAUAACUACUGGAAACGGUAGCUAAUACCGCAUAACGUCUUCGGACCAAAGUGGGGGACCUUCGGGCCUCACACCAUCGGAUGUGCCCAGAUGGGAUUAGCUAGUAGGUGGGGUAAUGGCUCACCUAGGCGACGAUCCCUAGCUGGUCUGAGAGGAUGACCAGCCACACUGGAACUGAGACACGGUCCAGACUCCUACGGGAGGCAGCAGUGGGGAAUAUUGCACAAUGGGCGCAAGCCUGAUGCAGCCAUGCCGCGUGUAUGAAGAAGGCCUUCGGGUUGUAAAGUACUUUCAGCGGGGAGGAAGGCGAUGAGGUUAAUAACCUUAUCGAUUGACGUUACCCGCAGAAGAAGCACCGGCUAACUCCGUG
This 452-nucleotide ribosomal RNA is filed under the name uncultured bacterium. RNAcentral describes it as "bacterial SSU rRNA". It matches the Rfam family "Bacterial small subunit ribosomal RNA", at positions 64 to 507 of the family's 1533-position model. The record is from RNAcentral.